Molecule: non-coding RNA, 2624 nt
Organism: Phalacrocorax carbo (great cormorant)
Lineage: Eukaryota; Metazoa; Chordata; Aves; Suliformes; Phalacrocoracidae
Source: RefSeq, a predicted model, not a curated record
UGAUUUGGUCAGAAUGAGGCUGUUUGGGUGAUUAAAUGAUUUUUCUUUUUUAGCAUAGCAGUCACAAUUCAGCAUUGUUAUGAAAGAGGGAGCCCUGAGGAGAUCAAAGGCUUAAACUUCUUUCGAGUUCUCUUUGCUGGUGUCACAAGGCACAGUAUGACAGACCCCUGUUGCCAGAAUCUACUCCCAGGAGGAUUCAUAGCAGAGAACAUGACAAUCUAAGACUAAUCAGAUACAAUGCUAGUCCAUUGGAAGGCUUGACCAGCAGUAACACAUCUGGCUUGUGGACUUUGCUACUUCUCCUUUGCUACUUUUUCAGUGUCACAAUCUUCAGAAGUUGGUGACUUCCUGUGUAAGAAGGCCUUGAGCCUUCCAUUUAGUUCUUGUGUUUGCUGGGCUUGGGUUGUUCUGUGUCUUCUGCCAGCUUCUCUGGCCUUGGAUUAGCCACCACCAGUGCCCAUCAUGGUAACAUGGCUGAGGGCACUAAGAUAAGUGUGCCAGAGCUGCCAUGGGCUUGCAGAAAGAUGAAAGCAAAUGGAUCCUGGAAACAAACAACGCUUAAGAUCAAAGUACAUUCCUUUGGAGUCAACAGGGAUGCAGUUUUGGAGAGUCCAAGGGUAAGUGUUUGGUACAACCAAAACUGGAACGACCUCAUCACCCGCAACUCAAGAGCGUGAGUGUGUUGAGUUUGUGAAUUCAAAGUAGUUUAAAAAAAGGGGGAGGAGGGAAGUUACUUUUUCCCCCAGAGAAAACAGUUGACGUUGUAUGUAAUAAUUCUUGCAUGUCAUCAUUGAUAACUGUGUAACAUUCGUUUUCUGAUACUCCUUGUUUUUAGGACAGCUUGGUGUGACUGAUCACAGGGAAGAUACAAAUAGAGUAUCUUCACAUGCUGUAACUGAGUUCAUUAACACCACAGCAAACCAGACAUUUAAAAUAUUUUAGUAUAUUUAUAGUAGAUGCUAAUUCUGCCAUGUAUUACAUUAUGGCAGUACUGUGUUUACAUGCAUGUUGUGAAAUCUGAAAAUAGUUAAAAUUCUAGGCCUCUCAUAGUGGCUUUGUCUGAUAUUUUGUCUUUGCAAAUGGGGAAAAAGGAACACAUAAUAGCUUAACUCAGACUGUAUACAUGUAAAAAGAAAUAAUUCAUUCUUUUAAUUAUGCCACAUCUGAUUCAAAGAAUAUGACGCAACUGCAUUGUUGUCCUAUCUCCUUUCCCACUUUGAAACAUUUAGUCAACAUUUUAGAUAAAUAUGUCAAGCAGAAAAGUCACCUUAAAAAUAAAACUAUGACAAAGGUAAAAGAAAGUCCUCUCAUGACUGUUUUAACACCAAAAAGUUAAGUGAUGGCAAAAAUUAUCUUUUCAGUUUAUUUGUGAGAUUUAUAGAUUGCUAAAAAGUCAAUUUAUGUGAUCACUUCAAGAGGUGGGGAAGGAAACCUCACUUCAUUUUUCUGGAGGACAUGCAUUUAAGCAGAAGAGUGUGACCAAGUUUUCAAAUCAGAAAGUGGCAUUAUUUAUGCCAACGGCGUCUCUUAAAUCCAAACAAGAAUGUGAUUAAUUAUGACAAAAAUAAUAGAAAUAAUGCAAGAGUUAGCACAAACUUAAAAAACCAAAAGACCAAAUGGGACCUCUGAGAGUUGUUCCUUAGCAUUAGGACGUGAUGCAGAAAACCUGCUUGUCCUGUUAGUUUAUUCGGAGUGUUUUUAAGACAUAGUGAUGUUCAUAUGCAAGGGCAAUGGAACUGAACGUGUGCCAGCUUCUUCCUAAUUAUAGUUUGCAGCCUGAGGUAUUAAGCUGAAUUGAAACUGCACGUGGUUUAAAUUAAUAUGUUAAACUCUGAACUGUGGUGCACCAGGUGCUGGCAUGUUUGAUUUAGCAAUGAUUCCUGCAAAACAGCAAUCUUCAGCGGGAAGAUGAGUUGAUAGCUAAUUCUCAGUCUUGUUUUUCAAAGCCUCUUCUCAGAUUUUGUCCCACAGCAAUAUUUCAGUUUUGAUGCCAUGGAUUUUACGUCGGUAAUAAAGGAGUUGUUUGAAAAUAACAUUGCAGCGAUAAGAAAAAUAUUUUAUUGUUUUUCAGUGUCUGUGUCCUUAAUUUUUUUCUUCACAGCUGAUUCAGUGUCAACUCUGCCAGUGUUUAAUUUUCGAGAAAAUGUAUGUGCUAUAUUUCAUAUUUGUAGUUGAUUGGCAUAGGUAAUAAAUAAUUGUUAUAUAUGUGUAUGUAGAUAAAUAUUGCCUUUACCUAAGAAACUUCAUUUGGGAGACUUUAAAUACUGUUUAAACUCAGUAGAUAAAGUCUCUUAACAGUCUACAAAGGUAGUAAUCUAAUAGCAGGGAUGAGGUGUGUAAUCUCAGUGUUUCAGGAGAGGCUGACAACAACAAAGUAGAAAAAUUGGUCCUCUGUCACUUUUUUGCCUAAUAAUACCACCUUUAUUCACGGGUUUGCUUCUUGUGGUGUUCUUAUCAAAGCAUGACAAUGUUAUAAGCAAGUGAAAUAAAAAGAAUCAAGCUGCCUUGCUGCUGUUUUAAGAUGAUAUGGUUUCCUUCAAACUGAAUUACCAUAGAUAAUGUGGAAUGAAAACUUAAUAAGAAUUAAAAGCAUCUUCACCCCAUUUUCCUGAAUAGAACUUAAU